AAACCAUGAUAUGGACACUUGCACAACAUUAACUUAAAGUUCUCCCAUGCCUCAUAUAAUGAUUCUCCUUCCAAUUGCUGAAAAUUUGUUAUAUCUAUAUGAAGUUU
Gossypium hirsutum (cotton) is the source of this 107-nucleotide non-coding RNA. NCBI's taxonomy places the organism in Eukaryota, Viridiplantae, Streptophyta, Magnoliopsida, Malvales, Malvaceae. The record is from Rfam.